This 253-nucleotide ribosomal RNA is filed under the name uncultured bacterium. RNAcentral's name for it is "partial 16S ribosomal RNA". It matches the Rfam family "Bacterial small subunit ribosomal RNA", at positions 524 to 776 of the family's 1533-position model. The record is from RNAcentral.
UACGUAGGGUGCAAGCGUUAUCCGGAAUUAUUGGGCGUAAAGAGCUCGUAGGCGGUUUGUCGCGUCUGCUGUGAAAACUGGAGGCUCAACCUCCAGCCUGCAGUGGGUACGGGCAGACUAGAGUGCGGUAGGGGAGAGUGGAAUUCCUGGUGUAGCGGUGGAAUGCGCAGAUAUCAGGAGGAACACCGAUGGCGAAGGCAGAUCUCUGGGCCGUAACUGACGCUGAGGAGCGAAAGCAUGGGGAGCGAACAGG